This 2566-nucleotide long non-coding RNA is filed under the name Mus musculus (house mouse). RNAcentral describes it as "long non-coding RNA chr19:36353238-36355804". Lineage: Eukaryota; Metazoa; Chordata; Mammalia; Rodentia; Muridae. The record is from RNAcentral.
UGACAACAGAAUCGUGGGUCUGGCAUUAGCUUAGCAGUACUGUGUUUGCUUACAAUGUCCAAGGCCCUGACUUCAGUCCAUAACGCUGUCCCAAACAAGCAAACGUCAUCGUAAGGAUGGUGUCUGUGUGUUUGUGGGUGGAGUGGCUUCCCACUAAGCAGGGAAUAGGAAGGUCAUUAAUGCACCGAGCAUUUCUCAUGCUUUAAGGCAAGGAACAGAAAAAGGUAACUACGUCUAGAUUGACACUUGCUCGGCCCAUAUUUGUUAUGCCGACUCAAUUUGGGGACAAUAUUUGGACAAAUAAUGCCCGUUCCUUUAUACAUUUUAAAUUCUAUUUAUAUUUAUUUGUGUGUGUUUCAGGGCCUGAGAUACCUAUGCACCAUGGUUUGUGAGUGAGGUCAGGGGGCAGCUCAGGAGUCUCUUAGAGAUCAAACUUAAGUUUGUCAGACCGUAGGCACAUACAUUGGCUGAGCUAUAGCUCCAGGACCCCCAUCUUGAAAAUUUUUUAAGUUAAAUUUUUAUUUACUUGCGUCUGGGGAAAUGGCCAUGGCCAUUUUCAUUCUAAAAUAAACUCUCCUUUUCAGCAACGAAUUAUAUGAUCACCUUGAUUAUGACGGCGUUGUUUCUGGAUAAUCAUGCCAAUAAGGCAAAAUCAAUCAAUCAAUCAAUCAAUCAAAAGUUACAUUGGUUUUGAAGGUGGGAAUAAAUCUGCUGACCACAGCUGAAAGCUACUUGGGGAAGAAAGGGUUCAUUUCAUCCUGCACUUCUCCAUCGUGCUCCAUCACUGAAGGAACUGGGCAGGAGCUUAAAGCAGGAAUCUGGGAGCAGGAACUGAAGCAGAGGCCAUAGAGGAGUGCUGAUUGCUGGCUUGCUCUCCGUAGUCUGCUCAGCGACCUUUCUCGUGUAACCCAGGACCACCUGCCCAAGGAUGGGACCUCCUGCAGUCAAUCACCAAUCAGGAAAAUGCCCCACAGACAUGGUGACAGGCCGUUCUGUUGGGAAAGUUUUCUCACCUGAAGUUCCCCUUUACCAGAUGACCCUAACACAAAUGCAUUACUGAUUGAAAAAAAUUGAAAGAAAUCAAGGAAAAAUUAAGUGGAAAUUUCAUGUUCAUGGAGAGAGAGAGUCAUUAUUGUCAGGACUUCUGAACUUGAUUGAUAAAUUCAUUGGAGUCUCAAAUCGAAAUUCCAUUAGUUACUUUAUAGAUAUUGACAAUUUAAUUUUGCAGUUUAUAUAGAAGAGCAAGCACGAUAUUAAAGAAUGGAGUUGGACGGUUGGCUUUAAGUCUUCUAGAGAGAUGUAAUGAUCAAGUGUGGCCCUGGCAAGAGACAGACAAGCAGGUCAGUGGAGCAAAUCUGACACGGGGGGCUUCUGAGGUCCCACAGAUUUGAUCAACUCAUCUUUGACAAGGAACAAGGGAAACACGGUGGGGUUUUGCCUUUUUCACUGGUGCUGGGACAACUGGGCUCUAUGUAAAAACUAACAAACGAGAACUCAGAAUGGGCCAUAAGCAUGCGUUUAAUCUAUGAAACUGUUAGGAAAUACCGCAGGAGAAUGUGCAGGUAACUUUAGGUCUGGAGAUAUUUUACAAACAGGCAAAAUUCACAGAAGGAAGAUAUCAGAAGGCGUGCCUAUUAAAUAUCGUUUUUUUUUUUAAAUGCACCUUGCAAAAAAAAAAAAGACAGUAUCAAGAGAAUAAAAAGAUGAGAUGCGGGUCAGGAGAAAAUAUUUAAAUAUUUUCAAAAGAUGUAUUUCAAAUAUGCAAAGAAGUCCUACAACUCAAUAAAAACUCUUAAGUUAAAAAUGGGCUAAAUCCCUUACAGAUACCCAAGAAACUAGGAAAAUAGCAAGAUGAUCCUAUGAAUAGAUGAUCCACAUCAGAGACAUCAGAAGAGUGCCAAUCAGAAUAACAGAUACCACUUGGCACUGCUUGGAAUGGCCAGAAUCCGUUACACAGAAAAAGACCAGGUGCUGGCAAGGAUGUGGAUCAACAGGAACUCUCAAUCAUUUGCCAGAGGGAGUGCUGGAUGGUACAGCCAUCUUGGAAAAUGUUGUGAAACCAUACACCUUCACCAGGUGGUCGGUCUAGGAGUUGCAGUUGCGUUCCUUGCAAUCUACCCAAAGGAGCUGGGAAUUUACAUACAUUCAAAAAAGAAAAAUCCCUACAGAGGGGUUCUAAUUAUCACUGUGUUAGUAGUUACCAAACUUGGAAGCAAUAAAGAUACCCUGUAUUCUUCAGAGUAAAUGAAGAAGUUACCUAGGCAAUGGGAUAUUAUUUCAUGAUGAAAAGACAUGGGUAGGGCCAGGGAGACAGUUGUGUUAUUAAGGAGCCUUCCAAGCUGGGGAACCUGCAUCCGACCCUCAGAACCCAAAUUUAAAAAAAGAAAAAGAAAAACCCAGAUGAGCCGCAUAUGCUUAUAGUCCCAGCUCUGAGGUCGCAGAAACAGGUGGAUCCCUGGGGCCCCGUGAGCUCUCCAGACUACUGUGUUUGGUGAGCCCCAGGCUACUGAGAGACCCUGUCUAUUAAAAAACAAAACAAACAAACAAACAAAAAAAAACAGUAACC